This 102-nucleotide small nucleolar RNA is filed under the name Macleaya cordata. RNAcentral's name for it is "Small nucleolar RNA R30/Z108". It matches the Rfam family "Small nucleolar RNA R30/Z108". From Rfam's summary of the family: snoR30 is a C/D box small nucleolar RNA which acts as a methylation guide for 18S ribosomal RNA in plants. Lineage: Eukaryota; Viridiplantae; Streptophyta; Magnoliopsida; Ranunculales; Papaveraceae. The record is from Rfam by way of RNAcentral.
GAAGGUUGCGAUGAGGAUAUCAAGCUCCCUCUUCUGAAAUGAAAGUUGAGGACGAUCGCUGGCAGAAUCGAACCUAAUAAUUAAAAUGCCACCACUGAGUAA